GGAUGUUCGGAUGCAUAAACAACUAGGAUGUUGGCUCAGAAGCAGCCAUCAUUAAAAGAGUGCGUAAUAGCUCACUAGUCGAGUGACCGAGCGCCGAAAAUGUACCGGGGCUAAGCAUACUACCGAAGCUGCGGAUUGUUGUGAUAAACAACAGUGGUAGGGGAGCGUUCUAUACAGGAAGAAGGCAGACUGAGAGGACUUCUGGACAGUAUAGAAGUGAGAAUGCAGGUGUAAGUAACGAGAAGACGGGUGAGAAUCCCGUCCGUCGAAAACCCAAGGAUUCCAGGGGAAGGUUCGUCCUCCUUGGGGAAGUCGGGGCCUAAGGUGAGGCUGAGAAGCGUAGCUGAUGGACAACUGGUUUAUAUUCCAGUACUAGUUAUCAUCUGAUGGAGGGACGAAGGAGGCUAAGCUCCGGGGAUUAGUGGAUUUCCCCAAAGAUACCGAGUCUUGUAGAUAGGCAAAUCCGUCUACUUUAAGGACGAGGUAUGAAUAAUAAAGGAGUAUGAUGUCAAACUUCCAAGAAAAGCUUCUAAGAUAAUGAUAACUACCCGUACCGUAAACCGACACAGGUGGGUGAGAAGAGAAUUCUAAGACGCGCGAGAAAACCCUUGUUAAGGAACUCGGCAAAAUGACCCCGUAAGUUAGCGAGAAGGGGGACUUAUAGAGAUAUAAGUCGCAGAGAAGAGGCCCAAGCAACUGUUUAACAAAAACACAGGUUUGUGCAAAAUCGAAAGAUGAAGUAUACGAGCUGACGCCUGCCCGGUGCUGGAAGGUUAAGAGGAGAGGGUAGGAGCUGACAUGUCAGCUUCGAAGCUUCGAAUUCAAGCCCCAGUAAACGGCGGCCGUAACUAUAACGGUCCUAAGGUAGCGAAAUUCCCUGUCAGGUAAGUUCGGACCCGCGCCAAAUGCGUAAUGUCUUUGGGCGCUGUCUCAACAAGGGGCUCGUUGAAAUCAUACUGCCGGUGAAAAUGCCGGCUACCCGCGACUAGACGGAAAGACCCCAUGGAGCUUUACUGUAGCUUGAUAUUGAUACUUGGUAUGUGAUGCACAGGAUAGGUGGGACACAAUGAAAUUAGGACUUUGGUCUUGAUGGAGUGGCCGUUGGGAUACCACCCUUUGCAUGUUGAGCGUCUAACUAGUGUUAGUGGAUAACAAAGGACAGUGUCAGGUGGGCAGUUUGACUGGGGCGGUCGCCUCCUAAAGAGUAACGGAGGCGCUCGAAGGUUCCCUCAGAAUGGUUGGAAAUCAUUUGAAGAGUGUAAAGGCAGAAGGGAGCUUGACUGAGAGACAAACAAGUCGAUCAGGGACGAAAGUCGGACUUAGUGAUCUUGCGGUACCGAGUGGAAGGGCCGUGACUUAACGGAUAAAAGCUACCCUGGGGAUAACAGGGUGAUCAUAACCAAAAGACCAUAAAGCCGGAAUGGUGUGGCACCCCGAUGUCGGGUCGUCGCAUCCUGGGGCGGGAGAAGGUUCGAAGGGUUGGGCUGUUCGCCCAUUAAAGCGGCACGCGAGCUGGGUUCAGAACGUCGUGAGGCAGAUCGGUCUCUAUCUAUCGUGGGCGCAGGAGACUUGAGUGGGCCGGCCACUAGUACGAGAGGACAGUGGUUGACAGACCUCAGGAUUACCGGUUGUGCGCGGAGGUGCACAGCCG
RNAcentral lists this ribosomal RNA (1651 nucleotides) under gut metagenome. RNAcentral's name for it is "bacterial LSU rRNA". It matches the Rfam family "Bacterial large subunit ribosomal RNA", at positions 1071 to 2743 of the family's 2925-position model. The record is from RNAcentral.